GGGCCCGCACAAGCGGUGGAGCAUGUGGUUCAAUUCGACGCAACGCGAAGAACCUUACCCAGGCUUGAAGAGCGAAUGACCAUUCCCGAAAGGGAACUUCCGCAAGGACAUUCGUAGAGGUGCUGCAUGGCUGUCGUCAGCUCGUGUCGUGAGAUGUUGGGUUAAGUCCCGCAACGAGCGCAACCCUUGUCUGCUGUUGCCAUCACGUUAUGGUGGGCACUCUGCAGAGACUGCCGGUGAUAAACCGGAGGAAGGUGGGGAUGACGUCAAGUCAGCAUGGCCUUUAUGUCUGGGGCUACACACGUGCUACAAUGGCCGAUACAAACCGUCGCGAUACCGCAAGGUGGAGCUAAUCGGAGAAAGUCGGUCUCAGUUCGGAUAGCAGGCUGCAACUCGCCUGCUUGAAGUUGGAAUCGCUAGUAAUCGCGGAUCAGCACGCCGCGGUGAAUACGUUCCCGGGCCUU
This 464-nucleotide ribosomal RNA is filed under the name uncultured bacterium. RNAcentral describes it as "bacterial SSU rRNA". It matches the Rfam family "Bacterial small subunit ribosomal RNA", at positions 917 to 1382 of the family's 1533-position model. The record is from RNAcentral.